RNAcentral lists this ribosomal RNA (250 nucleotides) under uncultured bacterium. RNAcentral describes it as "partial 16S ribosomal RNA". It matches the Rfam family "Bacterial small subunit ribosomal RNA", at positions 524 to 773 of the family's 1533-position model. The record is from RNAcentral.
UACGGAGGGAGCUAGCGUUGUUCGGAAUUACUGGGCGUAAAGCGCGCGUAGGCGGCUAUUCAAGUCAGAGGUGAAAGCCCGGGGCUCAACCCCGGAAUAGCCUUUGAAACUAGAUAGCUAGAAUCUGGGAGAGGUGAGUGGAAUUCCGAGUGUAGAGGUGAAAUUCGUAGAUAUUCGGAAGAACACCAGUGGCGAAGGCGGCUCACUGGACCAGAAUUGACGCUGAGGUGCGAAAGCGUGGGGAGCAAAC